GCCAGCAGCCAUAUCAUCCUGCAACUCACGACUCAAACCCACUGAAGCUAAGCAGGUGUGAGCCUGGUCAGAACCUGGAUGGGAGACCUCCUGGGAAAAACUAAGGUUGCUGCUGGAA
Ribosomal RNA from Lepisosteus oculatus (spotted gar), 118 nucleotides. NCBI's taxonomy places the organism in Eukaryota, Metazoa, Chordata, Actinopteri, Semionotiformes, Lepisosteidae. The record is from Ensembl.